CCUUAGCUGAAGAUAGAUUUCUCUUCAUUCUGAAAAUUUUAAAUAUGGCAGAUUCCCCAUAAUGACUCUGACAUGUGCUUUUCAUAUCUAAUGUAAAAAUAGACUCUAACUCAAGCAUAUGAUGUUUAUUUGAUUAUGAUUCUAACGCCUCUACAAGUUAGAAGUUAUCUUUAUCAGAAACUUCUCUAGUCAUAAACCUUUUGGCAUUCUUGACUCCGGAUACAUCGACACGUGGUCUCUCAAAUGUGUGGCUUUGGCUCUUUUAGACACCUGUCUAGUUCAGAACAUAAAGGUCAAUGUGUUGAGAUCCCCUCGAGCAGUGUGAAAAUCCUGAGAUUGGAAUCUCAUCAUUAGCUGCAUUUUAUUUUUCCCAUGAUUGUCAAAACUCGGUUUUUGAAACAAUUAAUUUUGUGUUCUCCUCAAGUAAUCGUUGUCGUUUUGUGCUAUAUUUCAAAUUUUGUUUAUAUACUCCCACAUUCACACUUUCACUACUCAUUACUUACACAAACUUAAAACCUUCAACCUUCU
This 528-nucleotide long non-coding RNA is filed under the name Lathyrus oleraceus (garden pea). RNAcentral's name for it is "Pisum sativum (pea) long non-coding RNA (PSAT_LNC030091)". The record is from RNAcentral. Lineage: Eukaryota; Viridiplantae; Streptophyta; Magnoliopsida; Fabales; Fabaceae.